Molecule: ribosomal RNA, 509 nt
Filed under: uncultured bacterium
Lineage: Bacteria
Description: bacterial SSU rRNA
Rfam family: Bacterial small subunit ribosomal RNA
Source: RNAcentral
GACGAACGCUGGCGGCGUGCUUAACACAUGCAAGUCGAACGGAGAAUUUAUUUCGGUAAAUUCUUAGUGGCGAACGGGUGAGUAACGCGUGGGCAACCUGCCCUUCAGAUGGGGACAACAUCCCGAAAGGGGUGCUAAUACCGAAUACGAUCACGCUGCCGCAUGGCGGAGUGAUGAAAGAUGGCCUCUAUUUAUAAGCUAUCGCUGAAGGAUGGGCCUGCGUCUGAUUAGCUAGUUGGUGGGGUAACGGCCUACCAAGGCGAUGAUCAGUAGCCGGUCUGAGAGGAUGAACGGCCACAUUGGGACUGAGACACGGCCCAAACUCCUACGGGAGGCAGCAGUGGGGAAUAUUCCGCAAUGGACGAAAGUCUGACGGAGCAACGCCGCGUGAGUGAUGAAGGUUUUCGGAUCGUAAAGCUCUGUCCUUGGGGAAGAAGGUCUUCGGACUUGACGGUACCCAAGAAGAAAGCCCCGGCUAACUACGUGCCAGCAGCCGCGGUAAUGCUACG